AUCCGCUUGACGAGUCUCAAAUAGGACGAAACGCGUGUCCUGAAU
Molecule: non-coding RNA, 45 nt
Filed under: Schistosoma curassoni
Lineage: Eukaryota; Metazoa; Platyhelminthes; Trematoda; Strigeidida; Schistosomatidae
Source: RNAcentral